GAUGAACGCUAGCGGGAGGCCUAACACAUGCAAGCCGAGCGGUAUUGUUUCUUCGGAAAUGAGAGAGCGGCGUACGGGUGCGUAACACGUGUGCAACCUGCCUUUAUCUGGGGGAUAGCCUUUCGAAAGGAAGAUUAAUACUCCAUAAUAUAUUGAACGGCAUCGUUUAAUAUUGAAAGCUCCGGCGGAUAGAGAUGGGCACGCGCUAGAUUAGCUAGUUGGUGAGGUAACGGCUCACCAAGGCGAUGAUCUUUAGGGGGCCUGAGAGGGUGAUCCCCCACACUGGUACUGAGACACGGACCAGACUCCUACGGGAGGCAGCAGUGAGGAAUAUUGAUCAAUGGGUGCAAGCCUGAACCAGCCAUCCCGCGUGAAGGACGACUGCCCUAUGGGUUGUAAACUUCUUUUGUAUAGGGAUAAACCUACCCUCGAGAGGGUAGCUGAAGGUACUAUACGAAUAAGCACCGGCUAACUCCGUG
Molecule: ribosomal RNA, 479 nt
Filed under: uncultured bacterium
Lineage: Bacteria
Description: partial 16S ribosomal RNA
Rfam family: Bacterial small subunit ribosomal RNA
Source: RNAcentral